Molecule: ribosomal RNA, 245 nt
Filed under: uncultured bacterium
Lineage: Bacteria
Description: partial 16S ribosomal RNA
Rfam family: Bacterial small subunit ribosomal RNA
Source: RNAcentral
GACAGAGGUGCCAAGCGUUAGGCGGAAUCACUGGGCUUAAAGCGUGUGUAGGCGGAUGCCUAAGUACCUUGUGAAAUCCCCCGGCUCAACCGGGGAACUGCUGGGUAUACUGGGUGUCUUGGGUCAUCUAGGGGCUGCCGGAACAAAUGGUGGAGCGGUGAAAUGCGUAGAUAUCAUUUGGAACGCCAACGGCGAAAGCAGGCAGCUGGGGAUGCACCGACGCUGAGACACGAAAGCCAGGGGAG